AAAAUUCUGCCUUUUGUAAACAAAGUCUAGCUGUCACUGGACGGAGAAGCCAUGUCUCUGAGUCCAGAGACAAAGCCGCGCUCUUUGACAAGAUUUGUUUCACUGGAGACUCAAUGAUAACAAAAAAGAAGUAAACGCGGGUCAUGCUGUGACACAAGAUACCGGGUGGGCUUUCCUCUUUGAGGCCUGCGGACCCCGCCUUGUCCCGGCCUCCACUUCUGUAUCCCCCUCAUAGGCAUUAUCUCAGCACUUGCCAAGCAGAGAUACCCAUCCCUCCCUCAAAUAACCGGCAUUGGAAAUGACCCUCGGAGGAGACCAAGUCCACUUCAGAGCCAUGGUCUUGGAGCAUUGGAAUGAAACCAAACGUGACAUAGUGACCUUGGUUUGCACAGUGAAUGGGCACCACACCUCUGGCCGGCCUCAUUGCCACCUUAAGAACUGU
Herpailurus yagouaroundi (jaguarundi) is the source of this 442-nucleotide long non-coding RNA. RefSeq lists it as uncharacterized. The record is from RefSeq and is a predicted model, not a curated record. Lineage: Eukaryota; Metazoa; Chordata; Mammalia; Carnivora; Felidae. The transcript is spliced from 3 exons.